GUCCUAAGCAUCCCAGAAACGACACCGAAAGUCAUAAAGUCAAACAUAACUUUUAAAAACACCAGUAUAGGGUCAUAAGGCCACGAUGGUCAAAAAUUACAUUUCCGCAAAAUGACAUCACUUCCGGUUUCGGGAAGGUCAUGGCGGACAUGCGACAGUUCACGCUGAUGGACGUAGGAAGUGUUUUGAACAGCUGAUCGGAUCGGCAAAGCGUUUUUCUGGAAUAUUAUGUUUUUGUUAGGGAUGCAACGAUACCAAUUUUUUCAAACCGAUCCGAUACCGAUACUUGGAUCUGAGUACUUGCCGAUACCGAGUACAAAAACUGAUACUUCUACCACACACAAGUUAAACUUAACCAGUAAUAAAGAAACGACCCCAGACAACUCUUUAACCCAAACGAAACGUUUACUGAACGUAAGGGCAGAGACAAAUACUUUACAACACAUCCCUUUUUUAAACUCAAAUGAUAUUCCAAUUCCUUAACCAAAUGAAAUACACUGUAUAAAUGACAUAAUUCCCUUUCAAAUUAUAUUAAACAACCCAAGUUAUGUUAUCACCUUUUGGUAAAUUUCUGCCCAUACCCAAGUGUCCACCAAUGUACUCUAAUGCAUGCCUUUAAUUACCUCUAUAGCUGAAAAGAGUCUGUAUCCAUAAUUUGUGGAUCUGCUGAUUUGUUUUUAAUGUGGCACUUUUUUUUCACGAACUGCAGAUGAUGAAAUCGUCUUUAUUUGAGAAAAUGUCCCUAAGCUAUCGUUGUUCAUACUUACUGAGUUCCCUAACCACUUCUUUACUAUGUCAGCAAACUUUCUGAACAGGAAAGGUAUCAUAGAUUUAAAGACACAUCUUCAUUGAAGCAAAGGCAAAAAAUUGGAAUGAAUUUUAUGUUCAUAUUAAAGAGUGAAAAUCCAAAAUCUGCUGCAAUCUUUUGUAUUAAUGAUCUCUCUCUCUCUGUGUGUGUGUGUGUGUGUGAGUGAGUGAGUGAGUGUGUGUGUAUAAUGCUGCGUGUGUGCGUGUGUGUGUACAGGAGAAAGGUGAUGGCAGGAGCUUUUUUUAAUGCAUUUCGAAUCAACUUUUGUUUUGUUUUACAAGAAGUGUAUUUCAUACAUUGGAACAAAUGUAAUCUUUUCUAUACUUUAUAACUAUGAAACUCUAAAGAUUUUAAGUUCAUGCACAUUGUGAAACAAGAAUCUAAAUCUUUCUGUCACAAUGAUUUCUAUAAACCGUGUUGUUUAUGGGGAUAAUGUGAAAAAUCCUUUGUGGGCUGUAAUAAUGAUCAGUGGUGAUUGAAGAGGAAGCUUGAACCCUGGCUCUGGACAUUUUCAUGACAAGUGACAGUGCAGACAUUUGUUAAUGAGAGAAUAUGUUUUAUCAUCAUAACGACUGCGAAUUUAAGCAUCGUUAAAGUGUCACUUCAGCAAUGCUGCCAGGAGAAAGAAGUGUUGACUCGUGUUUUUUAAUAGAAGACUUAAAACACUAAACUCUAAUUUCUGGGGUUUAUGUUAAGUUUACAGAAUAUAACAUCUGGUAUGACAGUGAGUUUUACUUCUCACUGUCUGUGUUAU
Long non-coding RNA from Oreochromis aureus, 1562 nucleotides. Lineage: Eukaryota; Metazoa; Chordata; Actinopteri; Cichliformes; Cichlidae. The record is from Ensembl.